RNAcentral lists this ribosomal RNA (409 nucleotides) under uncultured Owenweeksia sp. Its description in RNAcentral is "bacterial SSU rRNA". It matches the Rfam family "Bacterial small subunit ribosomal RNA", at positions 505 to 916 of the family's 1533-position model. Lineage: Bacteria; Pseudomonadati; Bacteroidota; Flavobacteriia; Flavobacteriales; Owenweeksiaceae. The record is from RNAcentral.
GUGCCAGCCGCCGCGGUAAUACGGAGGAUCCAAGCGUUAUCCGGAUUCAUUGGGUUUAAAGGGUCCGUAGGCGGAUUUUUAAGUCAGUGGUGAAAGCCGGCAGCUCAACUGUCGAACUGCCAUUGAUACUGGAAAUCUUGAGUACAAAUGAAGUAGGCGGAAUGAGUCAUGUAGCGGUGAAAUGCAUAGAUAUGACUCAGAACACCGAUUGCGAAGGCAGCUUACUAACAUGUAACUGACGCUGAGGGACGAAAGCGUGGGGAGCGAACAGGAUUAGAUACCCUGGUAGUCCACGCCGUAAACGAUCAUCACUCGCUGUUGGCGAUAUACUGUCAGCGGCCAAGCGAAAGUAUUAAGUGAUGCACCUGGGGAGUACGCCGGCAACGGUGAAACUCAAAUAAAUUGGCGG